GGUCUCUCCUCUUACCGUCUCACUCCUGUCCUAUCUACCCUCUCCUAGUCCCGGACUGGGAGUGGGUCUUAUAAGUCGGGACAGAACAGACCCCGCUUUUGCUGGGGCAACGGAGCUGGUGCCCUCACUGUCUAUGCUCAGGAGGACGGCGCUGGGCGACCCACAGAGCCCGCGUGGGGUAUUGCGGGGGGAUGCAGGUUGGACCUCGCUCUACGCCAGGAGGCCGCGCCUGGUCACCUGCCGGACCGAUCCGGAGACGGUUUUAUCAGGCGGGCUCCUGGUAAAAACACUUGCGGAGUCUGCCCUCUCCGACGUAGGGGCACUAGUGGGAGGAAGCCCCGGGGGAGACAGGGUCUCUCUUGGACCCACCUGGUCGUGGAGCGGUUUCCGCGUUAAGAGCCCAACAGGUGCCGAAGGUGGAGUCGGACCAGCGGCCCUUUUACUCUUCCAGGAAGGAAGGGAUCCUUGCCUGCCCGCCCCCGUCACUCCCACCCUUGCUUUUGGAGAGCAGGUUUGACACUCCCCUCCUCCCCAGCGACCCCGUAGAGAGAGAGAGGGAGCUAGGAGGAAGGACGACUCUUCUUUCUUCCACCUGGCGGGUGUGUGGGGCUAUAAGGCUGUGGUGGUCAGGAAGGAGGAAAGAGGGACCCAAGAGUCCUGUCUUGGGGUGGAAGUGGAGGGGGGAGAUAAAAAUCUAAUGGUUUGUUGGCCCAGGUCUCUUCAAAUCCUCAAGAUGUCUUUGGCCCUUGAGUGACUCUCCUCAAGUUACCAGAGCCUUGCUGACAAUAGAUAACUGCUGUCCUGUAUGACCCACAAGACAUUGAAUGAGAGGGAUACCUUGAAGACAAAUAGAUGAAGAUUAGAGACGGGACCAGUAUGUGUACCCAACUUCACAGAUCUUCAGAGAUCUACCAGAAGCCCCAGUGCCUGUUGUCCUUGGCAGUGUCCACAGACCUAGAACUAGGAGGCCCAGGCUGCCCUCUACUGGUGGUUCCUGACAAUGACC
Panthera uncia (snow leopard) is the source of this 1006-nucleotide long non-coding RNA. RefSeq lists it as uncharacterized. NCBI's taxonomy places the organism in Eukaryota, Metazoa, Chordata, Mammalia, Carnivora, Felidae. The record is from RefSeq and is a predicted model, not a curated record. The transcript has 4 exons.